Molecule: ribosomal RNA, 512 nt
Filed under: uncultured beta proteobacterium
Lineage: Bacteria; Pseudomonadati; Pseudomonadota; Betaproteobacteria
Description: bacterial SSU rRNA
Rfam family: Bacterial small subunit ribosomal RNA
Source: RNAcentral
AGAGUUUGAUCCUGGCUCAGAUUGAACGCUGGCGGAAUGCUUACACAUGCAAGUCGAGCGGCAGCGCGGGGCAACCUGGCGGCGAGCGGCGAACGGGUGGUAAUGCAUCGGAACAUGUCCAUGUCGUGGGGGAUAGCCCGGCGAAAGCCGGAUUAAUACGCAUACGCUCGAGAGAGGAAAGCCGGGGACCGCAAGGCCUGGCGCGAUUGGGUUGGCCAUGUCCGAUUAGCUUGUUGGUGAGGUAAAGGCUUACCAAGGCGAUGAUCGGUAGCUGGUUGAGAGGAUGAUCAGCCACACUGGGACUGAGACACGGCCCAGACUCCUACGGGAGGCAGAGUGGGGAAUUUUGGACAAUGGGGGCAACCCUGAUCCAGCCAUUCCGCGUGAGUGAAGAGGCCUUCGGGUUGUAAAGCUCUUUUGUCCGGAGCGAAACGGGUAGCCCUAAUACGGCUGCUACUGACGGUACCGGAAGAAUAAGCACCGGCUAACUACGUGCCAGCAGCCGCGGUAAU